Molecule: ribosomal RNA, 301 nt
Filed under: uncultured bacterium
Lineage: Bacteria
Description: partial 16S ribosomal RNA
Rfam family: Bacterial small subunit ribosomal RNA
Source: RNAcentral
CAGCAGCCGCGGUAAUACGAAGGGUGCAAGCGUUACUCGGAAUUACUGGGCGUAAAGCGUGCGUAGGUGGUGGUUUAAGUCCGUUGUGAAAGCCCUGGGCUCAACCUGGGAAUUGCAGUGGAUACUGGGUCACUAGAGUGUGGUAGAGGAUAGUGGAAUUUCCGGUGUAGCAGUGAAAUGCGUAGAGAUCGGAAGGAACAUCUGUGGCGAAGGCGACUAUCUGGGCCAACACUGACACUGAGGCACGAAAGCGUGGGGAGCAAACAGGAUUAGAGACCCCUGUAGUCCCUGUCUCUUAUAC